Molecule: ribosomal RNA, 883 nt
Filed under: uncultured Candidatus Saccharibacteria bacterium
Lineage: Bacteria; Candidatus Saccharimonadota
Description: bacterial SSU rRNA
Rfam family: Bacterial small subunit ribosomal RNA
Source: RNAcentral
GUAGGUGGUUUGUAAAGCGAAUAGUGAAAUCUGGCGGCUCAACCGUACAGGCUAUUAUUUGAACUCACAAACUCGAGAAUGGUAGAGGUUACAGGAAUUUCUAGUGUAGGAGUGAAAUCCGUAGAUAUUAGAAGGAACACCAAUGGCGUAGGCAGGUAACUGGACCAUUUCUGACACUAAGGCACGAAAGCGUGGGGAGCGAACCGGAUUAGAUACCCGGGUAGUCCACGCCGUAAACGAUGGAUACUAGCUGUUGGGGGUAUCGACCCCUUCAGUAGCGAAGCUAACGCGUUAAGUAUCCCGCCUGUGGAGUACGGUCGCAAGACUAAAACGUAAAGGAAUUGACGGGGACCCGCACAAGCGGUGGAUCGUGUUCUUUAAUUCGAUGCUAAACGAAGAACCUUACCAGGGUUUGACAUCCUUGGAAUUUCUGCGAAAGUAGAAAGUGCUUUAUUGAACCAAGUGACAGGUGAUGCAUGGCCGUCGUCAGCUCGUGUCGUGAGAUGUUUGGUUAAGUCCAUUAACGAGCGCAACCCUUGUGAUUAGUUGAAUUUUUCUAAUCAGACUGCCCCGGUAACGGGGAGGAAGGAGGGGAUGAGGUCAGGUCAGUAUUUCCCUUACAUCCUGGGCUAGAAACACGAUACAAUGGCAAGUACAAUGCGCAGCGAAGCCGCGAGGUGGAGCAAAUCGCAUCAAAACUUGUCCCAGUUCGGAUUGGAGGCUGAAACUCGCCUCCAUGAAGUCGGAAUCGCUAGUAAUCGCAGAUCAGCAAGCUGCGGUGAAUACGUUCCCGGGUCUUGUACACACCGCCCGUCAAACCAUGAAAGUGACCAACACCCGAAGUCCGAUUCGUCGGCCUAAGGUGGGGGGCAUGAUUGGGGUU